UACGUAGGGUGCGAGCGUUGUCCGGAAUUAUUGGGCGUAAAGAGCUUGUAGGCGGUUUGUCGCGUCUGCCGUGAAAAUCCGGGGCUCAACCCCGGACUUGCGGUGGGUACGGGCAGACUAGAGUGUGGUAGGGGGGACUGGAAUUCCUGGUGUAGCGGUGAAAUGCGCAGAUAUCAGGAGGAACACCGGUGGCGAAGGCGGGAUCCUGGGCCAGUACUGACGCUGAGGAGCGAAAGCUAGGGGAGCAAACGGGG
This 254-nucleotide ribosomal RNA is filed under the name uncultured bacterium. RNAcentral describes it as "partial 16S ribosomal RNA". It matches the Rfam family "Bacterial small subunit ribosomal RNA", at positions 524 to 777 of the family's 1533-position model. The record is from RNAcentral.